UUCGUUUUCUCUUGCUGCUGCUGGGAAUCCUUCCUGUAUCAUAUGACAAAAGCCUAGGCUUGCCUCCUUGCAGGAACGAGAUGCAAUGGAGAGAAGGGUCCAGCUGUCCGAGUGGAUUCAAAUGAGGUCUCAGACACAGCGAGUUCAGCUAUCACUGUGUAGGGCUGAAAUGAGUUCCCAGUUGAGGUCAGCCCAAGUGGUCAACUUACAGGACACUGAAUAGAAACCAAUGAACUAAGCAAAAUGCAGAUGAAGUCUCUCCUUUUACCUGCUGUUCCUUCAAACAGAAAACAAAACACAGCCAACCAAAACAACUGUUCUGGCAGGAAAAAGAAAUUUCCUCAAUAUUUAUAUUCUCCAAUGAAAUCGGUAAGGAAGGAAGGUAAAGGCUGAAAAUACCCUUCAUAGCACCACAGAAAAGAGCCAGGCCCUCCCUGGUGGUGCAGCGGGUUAAAGCACAGCACUGA
Molecule: long non-coding RNA, 467 nt
Organism: Condylura cristata (star-nosed mole)
Lineage: Eukaryota; Metazoa; Chordata; Mammalia; Eulipotyphla; Talpidae
Exons: 3
Source: RefSeq, a predicted model, not a curated record